GACGAACGCUGGCGGCGUGCCUAAUACAUGCAAGUCGAACGCUUCUUUCCUCCCGAGUGCUUGCACUCAAUUGGAAAGAGGAGUGGCGGACGGGUGAGCAACACGUGGGUAACCUACCCAUCAGAGGGGGAUAACACUUGGAAACAGGUGCUAAUACCGCAUAACAGUUUAUGCCGCAUGGCAUAAGAGUGAGCGGCGCUUUCGGGUGUCGCUGAUGGAUGGACCCGCGGUGCAUUAGCUAGUUGGUGAGGUAACGGCUCACCAAGGCCACGAUGCAUAGCCGACCUGAGAGGGUGAUCGGCCACACUGGGACUGAGACACGGCCCAGACUCCUACGGGAGGCAGCAGUAGGGAAUCUUCGGCAAUGGACGAAAGUCUGACCGAGCAACGCCGCGUGAGUGAAGAAGGUUUUCGGAUCGUAAAACUCUGUUGUUAGAGAAGAACAAGGACGUUAGUAACUGAACGUCCCCUGACGGUAUCUAACCAGAAAGCCACGGCUAACUACGUG
RNAcentral lists this ribosomal RNA (508 nucleotides) under uncultured bacterium. RNAcentral describes it as "partial 16S ribosomal RNA". It matches the Rfam family "Bacterial small subunit ribosomal RNA", at positions 28 to 507 of the family's 1533-position model. The record is from RNAcentral.